AAGGUGCAAUAGACAGGUAAUAUAUAAGGUUCAGCAGCAGACUGGUUGAUCAAGAGUUAGAGGAGAAGCAAUAGAGGGUUAGAGGAACUUUUGAAACCAGCCACUGCUUUGGGACAAAGAUUGAAAAUGGGACUUAAAGGAAUCUUGAUGAUCCUACUAAUGCUAAAUGCAAGUACAACGCUGACGAC
Molecule: long non-coding RNA, 188 nt
Organism: Xiphophorus couchianus (Monterrey platyfish)
Lineage: Eukaryota; Metazoa; Chordata; Actinopteri; Cyprinodontiformes; Poeciliidae
Exons: 3
Source: RefSeq, a predicted model, not a curated record